CACAUGCAAGUCGAGGGGCAGCAUGAACUUAGCUUGCUAAGUUUGAUGGCGACCGGCGCACGGGUGAGUAACACGUAUCCAACCUGCCGAUGACUCGGGGAUAGCCUUUCGAAAGAAAGAUUAAUACCCGAUGGCAUAGUUCUUCCGCAUGGUAGAACUAUUAAAGAAUUUCGGUCAUCGAUGGGGAUGCGUUCCAUUAGGUUGUUGGCGGGGUAACGGCCCACCAAGCCUUCGAUGGAUAGGGGUUCUGAGAGGAAGGUCCCCCACAUUGGAACUGAGACACGGUCCAAACUCCUACGGGAGGCAGCAGUGAGGAAUAUUGGUCAAUGGACGAGAGUCUGAACCAGCCAAGUAGCGUGAAGGAUGACUGCCCUAUGGGUUGUAAACUUCUUUUAUACGGGAAUAAAGUGAGGCACGUGUGCCUUUUUGUAUGUACCGUAUGAAUAAGGAUCGGCUAACUCCGUGCCAGCAGCCGCGGUAAUACGGAGGAUCCGAGCGUUAUCCGGAUUUAUUGGGUUUAAAGGGAGCGUAGGCGGACGCUUAAGUCAGUUGUGAAAGUUUGCGGCUCAACCGUAAAAUUGCAGUUGAUACUGGCGACCUUGAGUGCAACAGAGGUAGGCGGAAUUCGUGGUGUAGCGGUGAAAUGCUUAGAUAUCACGAAGAACUCCGAUUGCGAAGGCAGCUUACUGGAUUGUAACCGACGCUGAUGCUCGAAAGUGUGGGUAUCAAACAGGAUUAGAUACCCUGGUAGUCCACACAGUAAACGAUGAAUACUCGCUGUUGGCGAUAUACGGUCAGCGGCCAAGCGAAAGCAUUAAGUAUUCCACCUGGGGAGUACGCCGGCAACGGUGAAACUCAAAGGAAUUGACGGGGGCCCGCACAAGCGGAGGAACAUGUGGUUUAAUU
This 906-nucleotide ribosomal RNA is filed under the name uncultured bacterium. RNAcentral's name for it is "bacterial SSU rRNA". It matches the Rfam family "Bacterial small subunit ribosomal RNA", at positions 52 to 951 of the family's 1533-position model. The record is from RNAcentral.